CAAAAAAAAAAAAAAAAAAAAAAAAAGAAGAAAGUAGACAUCCUCUCGGGUGGGAUAAUCCUCAUGUGUUCCUCCCUUCACAGGGCACAUAGGGGAUGAUGGCUGGAAGUCCAGUGAUGUGCGUUUAGCGUCUCCGCAUGAUGGAGACGCAACCCGGAUCACUUCCACCUGACAAAACUAAGGCAGACCUCUGGCCUCUGCAUGCAGGCCAGAAGAGGGAUCUCAUUACAGAUGGUUGUGAGCCACCAUGUGGUUGCUGAGAAUUGAACUCAGGACCUCUGGAAGAACAGCCAGUGCUCUUAACCACUGAGCUAUCUCUUCAGCCCUGGGGAAGCAUUUCUUGAUUCCUCUACUUCCUGAAGCAUCCACACUGAGGGGUCAGCCUGGAGGACACUAACCCUGUUCCCAUGAACCUUCCUUCCAUGGAGCAGAACUGCCACGUGGUCACAUCUACAGCAAGGGAGGAAAUACAGGAGUGAGACACUGGAGCUCGGCAGAGAAAAUCACGCAACUGCCAUCUGCAGCCUCCGUGUUUGGCUCUGCCAAUAAAAGCCAGGAGAGGGCGAUAGUGAGGCCAGAGGCGGAAGGGAGCGAUUUGCUCCUUGAGCUGGCGUCUCCUGCAGCUGCUGUGGAAUGAACUUUGGAGAUGUGUUUCCCCAGCAACAGCCACAGAACCAGCCCCAUAGCUUUCCACCACAGACAGCAGCGACCAGCUAGGUAGAAUCUACUUCGAGGUCUGGGUCCACCGCAGGUGCAGAGACCAAGGGAGCAAGAGCACCGGACUUUUCCAAGGUCCGAGCGGCUCUGCCGGCCCCUUCAAGGGUCCCAGGUUCUGGAAUUCCAAACUCGUGGCUUUGCUCUCUGGUCUAGACCUACAGAAGCUUCCGGCUCGCUUCUCCUUUGCUGUUCUUUGGUUUUGUUUCUCCGAGACAGGGUUUCUCUGGGUAGCCCUGGCACUCGUCCUGUAGACCAGGCUGGCCUCGAACUCACAGAGAUCCGCCUGCCUCUGCCUCCCGAGUGCUGGGAUUAAAGCUGUGCGCCACUAUGCCCGGCUCAAGGAAAGGACAAUUUUAUCACCAACAUCAUUUGGAAUCUCCAGGAUAUGGUGACGAUAAAAGCCCCACCCAAUUUCAUUAAAGGGGGAGGCUAUCACUGCCCAGUGACCUUGAGAUUCUGAUCAUCUUGUUCUACCUUCCAAAUUCUGGGGUUAUAGGUGCGUGCCAUCAUCCCAGAACCAAAGCCUCUGAAUGCUAAGCAAACACUCUACCAAGCGAGGGCUUCUAAAUAGUUUUUCUCCUUUAUCCAUCUGUAUAAGUUUUCAGUAACAGUUAUUGAUUUUUUUAGACAAGGUCUCACCAUGUAGCCUUGGCUAGCCUGGAGCUCACUGUGUAGAUCAGGCUAGCCUCAAAGUCACAGAGAUGUGGGCCACCAUACCUGGCUUAUAGUUAACAAUUUUGUAUUUAAUCAGUUGCUGUAUUACAUUUUCUGUGUAAAUUACUGCUGUGGUUUCUGUUGCACUGACGAGGCCCCGAUGGCUACGAAAAUCGGUACUAGGAAGGGUCCCGAGGAAACAGACGAGAGGUGGAACCUGGCCUAGCGGUGUCGCGGAGUUUGAAUGCUAAGCUCCAUGCCAAGGCAGAUUCAGUGCUCUCAGUUCCUGCCACGGAGCAGCACAAGGAACCAGGUGUCAGCUGUGGUUAUCAGUGACAAGGUGUCAACUAAAGCAGGUGUGUUGCGCUGACAGAGAUAACGGUGAGGGCCACUGACCGUCCUGGAUGGCAUCUGAAUCUUUGCAGAAGAAAGAAGAAGCCAAGCAUGGUGGUAACACGUAUCUGUAUUCUCAGCAUUCGGGACACUGAAGCGGGAAGAUCAGGAGUUCAAGGCCCACCUGGACUACACAGUUAGAGCAUUGCUCAAAAGGCAGAGAACGAGAGGCAGACAGAGCGGCACAGUUCCCACUCCAGAAAACGGUGUUUUCUCUUCCUUCCCUCCCUCCCUCCUUCCUUCCUUUUUUUCUUUUUGUUUUGAUUGUCGUUUGGGGACUUUGUUUUAUUUUGAGAUGGGAUCUCUACAUAUCCCUUGCAGGCCUGCAAUGUACCACAUACACCAAACUUAAAACAAUUCUCUUGCUUCAAACUUGUGACAGGGGCUGGUGGGAUGGCUCAGUGGUUAAAGGCAUUUGCUGCUCCUGCAGAGAAACUGGGCUCAGUUUCCAGCACCCACAAGGCAGCUA
This is a non-coding RNA of Peromyscus maniculatus bairdii (prairie deer mouse), 2233 nucleotides long. Lineage: Eukaryota; Metazoa; Chordata; Mammalia; Rodentia; Cricetidae. The record is from RefSeq and is a predicted model, not a curated record.